GGCAUUGUGGCUCAGUGGUAAAGCAUCUGCCUUGAAUGCAGGAAGGUCCCAGGUUCAAUCCCUGGCAUCUCCA
This is a non-coding RNA of Heteronotia binoei (common prickly gecko), 73 nucleotides long. The record is from the annotation of a RefSeq genome assembly. Lineage: Eukaryota; Metazoa; Chordata; Lepidosauria; Squamata; Gekkonidae.